Molecule: ribosomal RNA, 762 nt
Filed under: uncultured bacterium
Lineage: Bacteria
Description: bacterial SSU rRNA
Rfam family: Bacterial small subunit ribosomal RNA
Source: RNAcentral
UGCUGUUUCGCUGACGAGUGGCGGACGGGUGAGUAAUGUCUGGGAAACUGCCUGAUGGAGGGGGAUAACUACUGGAAACGGUAGCUAAUACCGCAUAACGUCGCAAGACCAAAGAGGGGGACCUUCGGGCCUCUUGCCAUCGGAUGUGCCCAGAUGGGAUUAGCUAGUAGGUGGGGUAACGGCUCACCUAGGCGACGAUCCCUAGCUGGUCUGAGAGGAUGACCAGCCACACUGGAACUGAGACACGGUCCAGACUCCUACGGGAGGCAGCAGUGGGGAAUAUUGCACAAUGGGCGCAAGCCUGAUGCAGCCAUGCCGCGUGUAUGAAGAAGGCCUUCGGGUUGUAAAGUACUUUCAGCGGGGAGGAAGGGAGUAAAGUUAAUACCUUUACUCAUUGACGUUACCCGCAGAAGAAGCACCGGCUAACUCCGUGCCAGCAGCCGCGGUAAUACGGAGGGUGCAAGCGUUAAUCGGAAUUACUGGGCGUAAAGCGCACGCAGGCGGUUUGUUAAGUCAGAUGUGAAAUCCCCGGGCUCAACCUGGGAACUGCAUCUGAUACUGGCAAGCUUGAGUCUCGUAGAGGGGGGUAGAAUUCCAGGUGUAGCGGUGAAAUGCGUAGAGAUCUGGAGGAAUACCGGUGGCGAAGGCGGCCCCCUGGACGAGGACUGACGCUCAGGUGCGAAAGCGUGAGGAGCAAACAGGAUUAGAUACCCUGGUAGUCCACGCCGUAAACGAUGUCGACUUGGAGGUUGUGCCCUUGAG